CCUACGGGAGGCAGCAGUAAGGAAUAUUGGUCAAUGGGCGGAAGCCUGAACCAGCCAUGCCGCGUGCAGGAAGACGGCCCUAUGGGUUGUAAACUGCUUUUGUACCGGAAUAAACCCCCGAACGUGUUCGGGGCUGAAUGUACGGUAAGAAUAAGGAUCGGCUAACUCCGUGCCAGCAGCCGCGGUAAUACGGAGGAUCCGAGCGUUAUCCGGAUUUAUUGGGUUUAAAGGGUGCGUAGGCGGCCUGUUAAGUCAGGGGUGAAAGACGGUAGCUCAACUAUCGCAGUGCCUUUGAUACUGACGGGCUUGAAUGUACUUGAGGUAGGCGGAAUGUGACAAGUAGCGGUGAAAUGCAUAGAUAUGUCACAGAACACCAAUUGCGAAGGCAGCUUACUAAGGUAUGAUUGACGCUGAGGCACGAAAGCGUGGGGAUCAAACAGGAUUAGAUACCCUGGUAGUCCACGCCCUAAACGAUGAAUACUCGAUGUUGGCGAUAUACGGCCAGCGUCUAAGCGAAAGCGUUAAGUAUUCCACCUGGGGAGUACGCCCGCAAGGGUGAAACUCAAAGGAAUUGACGGCGNGAGAGNGCGAGACGACGACGAGGGAGGAGG
This 611-nucleotide ribosomal RNA is filed under the name uncultured bacterium. RNAcentral's name for it is "bacterial SSU rRNA". It matches the Rfam family "Bacterial small subunit ribosomal RNA", at positions 338 to 948 of the family's 1533-position model. The record is from RNAcentral.